CCUACGGGCGACAGCAGUGAGGAAUAUUGGUCAAUGGACGAGAGUCUGAACCAGCCAAGUAGCGUGAAGGAUGACUGCCCUAUGGGUUGUAAACUUCUUUUAUAUGGGAAUAAAAUGUUCCACGUGUAGGAUUUUGUAUGUACCAUAUGAAUAAGGAUCGGCUAACUCCGUGCCAGCAGCCGCGGUAAUACGGAGGAUCCGAGCGUUAUCCGGAUUUAUUGGGUUUAAAGGGAGCGUAGGUGGAUUGUUAAGUCAGUUGUGAAAGUUUGCGGCUCAACCGUAAAAUUGCAGUUGAAACUGGCAGUCUUGAGUACAGUAGAGGUGGGCGGAAUUCGUGGUGUAGCGGUGAAAUGCUUAGAUAUCACGAAGAACUCCGAUUGCGAAGGCAGUUCACUGGACUGCAACUGACACUGAGGCUCGAAAGUGUGGGUAUCAAACAGGAUUAGAUACCCUGGUAGUC
Molecule: ribosomal RNA, 460 nt
Filed under: uncultured bacterium
Lineage: Bacteria
Description: partial 16S ribosomal RNA
Rfam family: Bacterial small subunit ribosomal RNA
Source: RNAcentral